CCCUUAGACGUUCUGGGCCGCACGCGCGCUACACUGACACAGGCAACGAGCUUUCCUUUACCGAAAGGUAUGGGUAAUCUUUUGAAACUGUGUCGUGCUGGGGAUAGAUCCUUGCAAUUUUUGAUCUUAAACGAGGAAUUCCUAGUAAGCGCGAGUCAUCAACUCGCGCUGAUUACGUCCCUGCCCUUUGUACACACCGCCCGUCGCUACUACAGAGUGCCCGUGUCCAAGAAACGGUCGGACCUGUGCGGCCUCUCCGGGCGACCGGAGGGCCGUUACGGGGAAGACCCUUUAUUUGACGCGGGUCGAUGAAGUAAAAGUCGUAACA
This 328-nucleotide ribosomal RNA is filed under the name uncultured eukaryote. Its description in RNAcentral is "partial 18S ribosomal RNA". It matches the Rfam family "Eukaryotic small subunit ribosomal RNA", at positions 1470 to 1796 of the family's 1831-position model. The record is from RNAcentral.